AUACGGAGGGUGCAAGCGUUAAUCGGAAUUACUGGGCGUAAAGGGCGCGUAGGCGGUCUAUCAAGUCAGGUGUGAAAUCCCACGGCUCAACCGUGGAGGUGCAUCUGAAACUGAUAGACUUGAGUAUGGGAGAGGAAAGUGGAAUUCCCGGUGUAGAGGUGAAAUUCGUAGAUAUCGGGAGGAACACCAGUGGCGAAGGCGACUUUCUGGACCAAUACUGACGCUGAGGCGCGAAAGCGUGGGGAGCAAACAGGAUUAGAUACCCUAGUAGUCC
Molecule: ribosomal RNA, 274 nt
Filed under: uncultured bacterium
Lineage: Bacteria
Description: partial 16S ribosomal RNA
Rfam family: Bacterial small subunit ribosomal RNA
Source: RNAcentral